AGAGUUUGAUCAUGGCUCAGGAUGAACGCUGGCGGUGCGCCUAAUGCAUGCAAGUCGAGCGACGCAUGCCGGAGGGGUAACCCACUGGUAUGACGGAGCGGCGAACGGGUGAGUAACACGUGAGCAACCUGCCCCGCAGACCGGGAUAGCCCAGGGAAACCUGGAUUAAUACCGGAUACCCUCGGAUGACCACAUGGAAAACCGAGGAAAAGCCUUUGUGCUGUGGGAUGGGCUCGCGGCUUAUCAGCUAGUUGGUGGGGUAAAGGCCUACCAAGGCAUCGACGAGUAGCUGGUCUGAGAGGACGAUCAGCCACACUGGAACUGAGACACGGUCCAGACUCCUACGGGAGGCAGCAGCAGGGAAUCUUGCGCAAUGGGCGAAAGCCUGACGCAGCGACACCGCGUGGGGGAUGAAGGCCUUCGGGUUGUAAACCCCUUUCAGGAGGGAAGAAAUUGACGGUACCUCCAAAAGAAGGACCGGCCAACUACGUGCCAGCAGCCGCGGUAAUACGUAGGGUCCUAGCGUUAUCCGGAAUCAUUGGGCGUAAAGAGCUCGUAGGCGGUUCAGCAAGUCGGCUGUGAAAGUCCGAGGCUCAACCUCGGAAUUGCAG
RNAcentral lists this ribosomal RNA (611 nucleotides) under uncultured Actinomycetes bacterium. RNAcentral's name for it is "bacterial SSU rRNA". It matches the Rfam family "Bacterial small subunit ribosomal RNA", at positions 8 to 626 of the family's 1533-position model. The record is from RNAcentral. Lineage: Bacteria; Bacillati; Actinomycetota; Actinomycetes.